This 497-nucleotide ribosomal RNA is filed under the name uncultured bacterium. RNAcentral's name for it is "partial 16S ribosomal RNA". It matches the Rfam family "Bacterial small subunit ribosomal RNA", at positions 28 to 507 of the family's 1533-position model. The record is from RNAcentral.
GAUGAACGCUGGCGGCGUGCCUAAUACAUGCAAGUCGAGCGAACAGACGAGGAGCUUGCUCCUCUGACGUUAGCGGCGGACGGGUGAGUAACACGUGGAUAACCUACCUAUAAGACUGGGAUAACUUCGGGAAACCGGAGCUAAUACCGGAUAAUAUAUUGAACCGCAUGGUUCAAUAGUGAAAGACGGUUUUGCUGUCACUUAUAGAUGGAUCCGCGCCGCAUUAGCUAGUUGGUAAGGUAACGGCUUACCAAGGCGACGAUGCGUAGCCGACAUGAGAGGGUGAUCGGCCACACUGGAACUGAGACACGGUCCAGACACCUACGGGAGGCAGCAGUAGGGAAUCUUACGCAAUGGGCGAAAGCCUGACGGAGCAAAGCCGCGUGAGUGAUGAAGGUCUUCGGAUCGUAAAACUCUGUUAUUAGGGAAGAACAAAUGUGUAAGUAACUAUGCACGUCUUGACGGUACCUAAGCAGAAAGCCACGGCUAACUACGUG